RNAcentral lists this ribosomal RNA (331 nucleotides) under uncultured eukaryote. RNAcentral's name for it is "partial 18S ribosomal RNA". It matches the Rfam family "Eukaryotic small subunit ribosomal RNA", at positions 1470 to 1796 of the family's 1831-position model. The record is from RNAcentral.
CCCUUAGAUGUUCUGGGCCGCACGCGCGCUACACUGUUCGACGCAGCGAGUCUUAACCUUGACCGAAAGGUUUGGGUAAUCUUCAGCAAAGUCGAACGUGAUGGGGAUCGAUCAUUGCAAUUAUUGAUCGUGAACGAGGAAUUCCUAGUAAGUGCAAGUCAUCAGCUUGCGCUGAUUACGUCCCUGCCCUUUGUACACACCGCCCGUCGCUACUACCGAUUGAAUGGUUUAGUGAGAUCUCUGGAUUGACGCUGGCUAGGGGGCGACCCUUGGCCAGGCUGUCGAGAAACUGCUCUAACUUGAUCAUUUAGAGGAAGUAAAAGUCGUAACA